UCGAUCCGUGGUGAUAAACGCCCAGUGUAGGAGGCAUGCAUGAUGAAUGAUGUGUGUUUGGAAGACUGAGGUCCAG
Small nucleolar RNA from Suricata suricatta (meerkat), 76 nucleotides. NCBI's taxonomy places the organism in Eukaryota, Metazoa, Chordata, Mammalia, Carnivora, Herpestidae. The record is from Ensembl.